This 1107-nucleotide long non-coding RNA is filed under the name Homo sapiens (human). RNAcentral's name for it is "HSALNT0336265". The record is from RNAcentral. Lineage: Eukaryota; Metazoa; Chordata; Mammalia; Primates; Hominidae.
GAAAGAUUAGACCCAUUUAGUCCUCUGGCCUACAUCUUUCUCCCAUGCUGGAUGCUUCCUGCCCUUGAACAUUGAACUCCAAGUUCUUCAGCUUUGGGACUCGGACUUUCUUUGCUUCUCAGCUUGUAGACAGCCUAUUGUGGGACCUCACCUCGUGAUCACGAUCCUACAGGACAUUCAAUCAUCACGUCUCCUUAGGCCCCUCUCAACUGUGGCAGUUUCUCAGACUUCGUUGUUUUUGCUCUUUCUCUUUCACGUGGGGAGAGUGUGGAACGGCUCAGUUUCUCCAGCAAGGAAUCCUCCUGUCCUGUCUAAAAGGCAACCUGCAUCCUAGGAGCAAAGAGAGGGAAAAGCACUGAGGAGUACGGCCAUGCCAUAGGCAGAUUUGCAAUUAAUUCUCUCGCUUGCAGCCCUAUGACUAAUUCUGGGCCAGGCCGUGCAUAUUGUCUCCAAAUCCUGAGGCUCUUGCCUCCCAUUCUCCAAAGAAUAAUCAGCCUCCUGCCUGGGGGGGUGAUUACACAGCUGCUAGGGUUCUAUGCCUGAGCCGUAAGUGAGGUACACAGACUGUUUCCCAUGUUAACAUAUUCUUCAGUUUAUUCCCACACUCUCUGCUGUACUGGAUUCCUCAGUUUCGGAGCUUCUCCAGGAGUCUACAGGACUAACUUAUUGUCUCCUUGUUAGUACCAACUUCUUGCUUGUCCUUUAAGAUAUGAUAUCCUCAAUCUGGUUAUAUCAGACACCUUUCCUACAUUCCUUUCCUGUCUUUUGAAAUAUGAUUGAAAUAUUUCAUCAAUUAAUGUCUUCUCUCCUAUUCUCUUUGUACUUGCAAGCUUAAGCCUCUUUUAUCUUUUCAAAUAUUUUAGCAGGCUCUCUGAAAGGAGAGGCUAUAAACUUCUAUGUCUAUUCUUCUAUCUUUAAAUUCAACAAGAGGCAGAACACUUUCAUGGUUAAGUUAGGCCUGCAUUUAAAUCCUGCCUCUGUCACAUACUUUUCUAAGACUUAGAAAUUUGCUAACCUCUGGAAACCUUGACCUCCUUUCUGUAAAAUGAGAACCUACCUCAUUGGGUUGUUGUGAGGAUCAAAUAAAAUAUGUAUGGUUGGCACGUA